This 305-nucleotide ribosomal RNA is filed under the name uncultured bacterium. RNAcentral describes it as "bacterial SSU rRNA". It matches the Rfam family "Bacterial small subunit ribosomal RNA", at positions 333 to 636 of the family's 1533-position model. The record is from RNAcentral.
GUAGUCCUACGGGGGGCAGCAGUGAGGAAUAUUGGUCAAUAGCCGCAGGGCUGAACCAGCCAAGUCGCGUGAGGGAUGACGGUCCUAUGGAUUGUAAACCUCUUUUGUCAGGGAGCAAAGGGCGCCACGUGUGGCGUUUUGCGAGUACCUGAAGAAAAAGCAUCGGCUAACUCCGUGCCAGCAGCCGCGGUAAUACGGAGGAUGCGCGCGUUAUCCGGAUUUAUUGGGUUUAAAGGUUGCUCAGGCGGAAUGUCAAUUCAGCGGUAAAAUUUCGGUGCUCAACCCCGGCGUGCCGUUGAAACUGG